ACAAAUUAUACUGUAGUCCCAGGAAAAUGGUUAAAUAGUGACAGCAUUUCACUAAAAGCAUCAGAUCUGCUAGCAACAUCCUUAAACAAACGAUCAGAAAGAGAGACCAUGGGUUUCAGUACCAUGGAAUUGCGAUAUUAUUACUAUGUAAAUAUUUAGGUUCCUUUGUUGUCUUACAUACCAGUGUUUGGCAUUUCUGGACUAUCCUCAAUUCCAUCAGGCUCCUUGCGCUCUGAUGACAUACAAACAACUGAUCUGAACAUCACUUCUGACAAAAACAGCUAUGUAGCCUGGUGCUGAACACCAAAAUAAACUUUAGCUUCUGACAAGAAUCAAUUGUACCAAAGAUUUGUGUAAUUAAUUGUAAUUAUUUACCAGUUGCACUCGGC
Molecule: long non-coding RNA, 389 nt
Organism: Clupea harengus (Atlantic herring)
Lineage: Eukaryota; Metazoa; Chordata; Actinopteri; Clupeiformes; Clupeidae
Source: Ensembl